This 1451-nucleotide long non-coding RNA is filed under the name Mus musculus (house mouse). RNAcentral describes it as "long non-coding RNA chr8:22272301-22273752". Lineage: Eukaryota; Metazoa; Chordata; Mammalia; Rodentia; Muridae. The record is from RNAcentral.
UUCUAAAAAUUAAAACUCAAUAAAUAUAAUUAAAGGAAUGGUUUUCUGUGAGAGCAAACUGGUAAUGGAUUGAAUCUAUUUUAAAAAUUCCACACUUAUGUGUUUAGCCAAGAGAAGUCAAUCAAGUACAGGUCCACAAAAUGAUUUGUUCUUUAAUAUCCCCAAAAGCUUUUAUUAGUAAUAUACUGUGGUGAUUAAUCUUCCUUGUCAACUACACUGUAUUUAUAAUUUAUGCUGAUUAUACAUGGCUCUAUCUGUGUCUAUAAAGGUAUUCCCAGGUUUCAUUGAGCAGCAAAGACCCAGUCUGAAUAUGGGCAGCCGUCUCCCCACAAGCUGGGGUCUCAGACUGAAUAAAAGGGAGAAAUGAAGCUGAAUGCCAGCAGUGAUCUCCUUUGCUUCCUGGAUGUGGCUGCAAUGUGCCCAGUCUGUCAUCACCAAGAGGGACAAUAUUCUCAAACAAUGAACCACAAAUAUUCUCUUCCUUAAGUUGCUUUUGUCAGGCUUUAUGCUAUUGUACAAGGAAAGGAGCUGAUGGUAACAGUUCCCAAUCUGCAAACAACCCAGACGCCAGCAGAAGAAGGGGUCAACACACUGGGUUAUAUUUUUAUAUCACAGGACUCCAUUAAUGAACAGUCCAAGGGCAAGCAAACACUCAUAAAGAUAGAACUCAGGAGUACUGCUUCCAGCUGUGUAGGGGGCAGGUGGGCAUGGGCUUGAAAGGCAUAAGUGAGCAUCCAUGGGCAAUGGAAAUGUUCUGUAUCUUGCUUUGAGUAGUGAGUUGGCAUAUACAUUUUCAAAACCUAUUAAAUUGUACUGGAGGCCUAUGUGUUAUAUCUAUCCUCUAUCUAUCUAUCUAUCUAUCUAUCUAUCUAUCUAUCAUCUAUCUAUCUAUCUAUCUAUCUAUCUAUCUAUCUAUGAAUGAAGAAGUACAUCUCAAAAAGUAACAUAAUGUUGUGUUUUUGCAACCUGGUUACUCAAAAGAGACUCUCAAGAGAACCAUGUCUGAUGAGUCAUAUUUUCUUUCUCACUUCCUUUGCUUCUUUUGGAUCGUACUUAAUUAAAGCUUACAUACGUCAGUGUGAGUGGUUGUCUCAGACACUGCACUCUAGGUCUAAAGACUUUUAUUUUGAUAUGUAGUUUAUGGCUCCCCAUAUCAUCCCAAAGCUACAUCAGAUUAGAAGAUGGUAAGACAUACACAGACAGGCAUGUAAGCGAACUGUGUAGGUACAUAUUGUGACACUAGGAAGACAAAGGGAUGCUGACCUAAGAAUUCUAAAGAGUGUGAGCCUGGGAAAACGAUAAAAUCAAGCUGUUGUAUGUUUGGGCUUCGAGUCUUAAAGUUUAGCCUGUUUUAAAUGCAAGGCACAAUGACUAUUCCAUAAAGAAGUGUCUUAAUGAUGUAAUGGUUUUUAAACAAUGACUAUAAAAUAAAUAAUUGAGUUUUUAUAUGU